GCGGAGGAAAAGAAACCAACAGGGAUUGCCCCAGUAACGGCGAGUGAAGCGGCAACAGCUCAAAUUUGAAAUCUGGUCCCCUUGCGGGGCCCGAGUUGUAAUUUGAAGAGGAUGCUUCUGGCAAGGUGCCUUCCGAGUUCCCUGGAACGGGACGCCGCAGAGGGUGAGAGCCCCGUACGGUAGGACGCCGAGCCUCUGUGAAGCUCCUUCGACGAGUCGAGUAGUUUGGGAAUGCUGCUCAAAAUGGGAGGUAAACCCCUUCUAAAGCUAAAUACCGGCCAGAGACCGAUAGCGCACAAGUAGAGUGAUCGAAAGAUGAAAAGCACUUUGAAAAGAGAGUUAAAAAGCACGUGAAAUUGUUGAAAGGGAAGCGCUUGCGACCAGACUCGCGCCCGUCGGAUCAGCCGUCGCUUGUCGGCGGCGCACUCCGGCGGGCUCGGGCCAGCAUCAGUUCGCCUCGGGGGGAGAAAGGCGGCAGGAAUGUGGCUCCUCGGAGUGUUAUAGCCUGCCGUGUAAUACCCCCGGGCGGACUGAGGACCG
Molecule: small RNA, 540 nt
Filed under: Scopulariopsis sphaerospora
Lineage: Eukaryota; Fungi; Ascomycota; Sordariomycetes; Microascales; Microascaceae
Description: eukaryotic LSU rRNA
Rfam family: Eukaryotic large subunit ribosomal RNA
Source: RNAcentral